Molecule: non-coding RNA, 107 nt
Organism: Oryza glumipatula
Lineage: Eukaryota; Viridiplantae; Streptophyta; Magnoliopsida; Poales; Poaceae
Source: Rfam
AUCCCAUGAUGAGGAUGGAUGAUGACGCAUUCCUGCAGCCUUUCCCAUGCUUCAAGAAUGGUUUCAUCCCUCAUACGCUGCAAACUGGAUAUUCUUCCACGAAGAGC